GCAUGGGGGCAGACUUGGACGCGGGGUUCAGGGUCACAGUUUUGAGGCCUGUACUUCCCCGCGGACAGGCCAGCAUCGGUUCUGGGGGCCGGACAAAGGCGAGGGGAACGUGGCUCUCUUCGGGGAGUGUUAUAGCCCUUUGCGCAAUGCGGCCACCUGGGACCGAGGACCGCGCUUCGGCAAGGAUGCUGGCGUAAUGGCCUCAUGCGG
This 210-nucleotide ribosomal RNA is filed under the name Scolecobasidium sp. RNAcentral describes it as "partial large subunit ribosomal RNA". Lineage: Eukaryota; Fungi; Ascomycota; Dothideomycetes; Venturiales; Sympoventuriaceae. The record is from RNAcentral.